UACGAAGGGGGCUAGCGUUGCUCGGAAUUACUGGGCGUAAAGCGCACGUAGGCGGCUUGUUAAGUCAGGGGUGAAAUCCUGGAGCUCAACUCCAGAACCGCCUUUGAUACUGGCGAGCUUGAGUUCGGGAGAGGUGAGUGGAACUGCGAGUGUAGAGGUGAAAUUCGUAGAUAUUCGCAAGAACACCAGUGGCGAAGGCGGCUCUCUGGCCUGUAACUGACGCUGAGGCGCGAAAGCGUGGGGAGCAAACAGG
This 253-nucleotide ribosomal RNA is filed under the name uncultured bacterium. RNAcentral describes it as "partial 16S ribosomal RNA". It matches the Rfam family "Bacterial small subunit ribosomal RNA", at positions 524 to 776 of the family's 1533-position model. The record is from RNAcentral.